AAAAACUUUCAACAACGGAUCUCUUGGCUCUGGCAUCGAUGAAGAACGCAGCGAAAUGCGAUACGUAAUGUGAAUUGCAGAAUUCAGCGAACCAUCGAAUCUUUGAACGCACAUUGCGCCCGCCAGUAUUCUGGCGGGCAUGCCUGUCCGAGCGUC
Molecule: ribosomal RNA, 156 nt
Filed under: Sporothrix cabralii
Lineage: Eukaryota; Fungi; Ascomycota; Sordariomycetes; Ophiostomatales; Ophiostomataceae
Description: Sporothrix cabrallii 5.8S ribosomal RNA
Rfam family: 5.8S ribosomal RNA
About the family: 5.8S ribosomal RNA (5.8S rRNA) is a component of the large subunit of the eukaryotic ribosome.
Source: RNAcentral